Molecule: ribosomal RNA, 524 nt
Filed under: uncultured bacterium
Lineage: Bacteria
Description: partial 16S ribosomal RNA
Rfam family: Bacterial small subunit ribosomal RNA
Source: RNAcentral
GACGAACGCUGGCGGCGUGCUUAACACAUGCAAGUCGAACGAGACGAUUGAAAGCUUGCUUUCGAAAGUCGAGUGGCAAACGGGUGAGUAACGCGUAGACAACCUGCCUUUGAGAUGGGGACAACAGUUCGAAAGGACUGCUAAUACCGAAUGUUGUAUAUUUUCCACAUGGAAGAUAUAUUAAAGAUGGCCUCUAUUUAUAAGCUAUCGCUCAAAGAUGGGUCUGCGUCUGAUUAGCUGGUUGGUGGGGUAACGGCCUACCAAGGCGACGAUCAGUAGCCGGUCUGAGAGGAUGAGCGGCCACAUUGGGACGGAGACACGGCCCAGACUCCUACGGGAGGCAGCAGUGGGGAAUCUUCCACAAUGGACGAAAGUCUGAUGGAGCAACGCCGCGUGAGUGAAGAAGGGUUUCGGCUCGUAAAGCUCUGUUGUCGGGGACGAAUGUGCAGUAUUUGAAUAAAGUACUGCAAUGACGGUACCUGACGAGGAAGCCACGGCUAACUACGUGCCAGCCGCCGCAGUAA